UAGAGUGUUUAAAGCAAACUAACGCUUGAAUACAUUAGCGUGGAAUAAUGAAAUAGGACGCUCGAUCCUAUUUUGUUGGUUUCUAGGAUUGACGUAAUGAUUAAUAGGGAUAUUGGGGGCAUCAGUAUUCAAUUGUCAGAGGUGAAAUUCUUGGAUUUAUUGAAGACUAACUACUGCGAAAGCAUUUGCCAAGGAUGUUUUCAUUAAUCAAGAACGAAAGUUGGGGGCUCGAAGACGAUCAGAUACCGUCGUAGUCUUAACCAUAAACUAUGCCGACUAGGGAUCGGACGAUGUUAUUUUAUUGACUCGUUCGGCGCCUUACGGGAAAC
RNAcentral lists this ribosomal RNA (329 nucleotides) under uncultured Glomus. RNAcentral describes it as "SSU rRNA". It matches the Rfam family "Eukaryotic small subunit ribosomal RNA", at positions 767 to 1098 of the family's 1831-position model. The record is from RNAcentral. Lineage: Eukaryota; Fungi; Glomeromycota; Glomeromycetes; Glomerales; Glomeraceae.